This 770-nucleotide ribosomal RNA is filed under the name uncultured fungus. Its description in RNAcentral is "eukaryotic LSU rRNA". It matches the Rfam family "Eukaryotic large subunit ribosomal RNA", at positions 30 to 821 of the family's 3401-position model. Lineage: Eukaryota; Fungi. The record is from RNAcentral.
GAACUUAAGCAUAUCAAUAAGCGGAGGAAAAGAAACCAACAGGGAUUGCCUUAGUAACGGCGAGUGAAGCGGCAACAGCUCAAAUUUGAAAUCUGGCCUCACGGCCCGAGUUGUAAUUUGUAGAGGAUGCUUCGAGCAUGGUCUGGUCUAAGUUCCUUGGAACAGGACGUCAUAGAGGGUGAGAAUCCCGUAUGCGACUAGGUGCCUAAGCUCAUGUGAAGCUCCUUCGACGAGUCGAGUUGUUUGGGAAUGCAGCUCAAAAUGGAUGGUAAAUUUCAUCUAAAGCUAAAUACUGGCCAGAGACCGAUAGCGCACAAGUAGAGUGAUCGAAAGAUGAAAAGCACUUUGGAAAGAGAGUUAAACAGUACGUGAAAUUGUUGAAAGGGAAGCGCUUGCAACCAGACUUGCAUGCAGUCGAUCAUCCAGUGUUCUCACUGGUGCACUCGAUUGCAUUCAGGCCAGCAUCGGUUUUGGUGGUUGGAUAAAGGCCUAGGGAAUGUAGCUCCUCUUGGGGAGUGUUAUAGCCCUAGGUGCAAUGCGACCUACUGGGACCGAGGACCGCGCUUUGGCUAGGAUGCUGGCGUAAUGGUUGUAAGCGACCCGUCUUGAAACACGGACCAAGGAGUCUAACAUCUAUGCGAGUGUUUGGGUGUAAAACCCAUGCGCGUAAUGAAAGUGAACGGAGGUGAGAACCCUUUAGGGUGCAUCAUCGACCGAUCCUGAUGUCUUCGGAUGGAUUUGAGUAAGAGCAUAGCUGUUGGGACCCGAAA